UAUUCUUUCAUGCAAUCUGAGCAUAUUUUACGUAAUAUAUGCACAAAGAUGGUGUUGUUUCUUGGGCAAAUAUCUGGUACAGUAAGUCACGAUUUACCCACAUAUGAACAUUUAGGUAAGAAUUUCACCUGAAUUUAAUGUUUGCUCUGCCAGUCACCAAGAGAUAACAUAUUUUGUGUGUGUUUUAGCAUUGGGGCGUAUAGCAGCAUCAACCUCUGCUGCCACACCUUAAUUCUAUUUAAUGCACGUACAGAAUUGCUUUGAUGCAAAAAACUGACAAAAUCCUAUUUUGAUCUACUUUACAGGUCUAUAACAAAAGUUUGUCUCUAAUCAAAAAGCCUGUCAUGAUAAUAGGAUACAUUUUGUUUUGUCUUGCUCAGAGCUAGCAAGCUAUCCUUAAUUAUUAAUCUUGAAUUGCUAGUACUUAUUAUUAUUUUUUAUUUCACAAUAACUUGAGGACAUUUCUGUUGUUGAGGGAUACAAAUACCAUAAAAUGUUGGAGUGUUUGCUAAAUCUUAUGCUGAUCUUCUGAGAGUUCUUGGAGUCAGUGAAGGAUUUUGUAGGAAUCUGAGCAGGCCUAGACUAAACUACAUGUUUUGGAAAUGGAUUUAAAAAUAUGUCUGCAGAUAAUGUCUUUCCAGACCAAACUUAACGAUGAAUUUUUGAUAAGCGUUAUAUCAUGUGAAAUAUUAUAGGGAAUGAAAACACAUCACAGAAGAUAUCAUGAAUCUGAGCAGAAAUUUUAUUUUUUUCUUGUUGCCAAUGAAAAAAUUGCAACAGUUCAGGUGGAGACAUAAGAAAAUGGCAUCCAGUCAAAGGUGGUGUCCAGUCAGAGCAGACCUCUCUCCAUAGUUCCAUUGUCAUCCUGAGCUUACAAAUGAUGCUGUCCCUUCUGGUUCUGAAGAUGUGAGUGCGCUUGAGGGUUCCUCCACCUCUGUGACCACUGCACCAGAGGACAGCUACCUCUGCAAAUCUGCCACAAAUCUGUCUCUGCUGUACCUCAUUGACAGCCACAGUGUAAAUGGCACCUCCAAGAAUUAUUCAUUUAAAAGAGUCUCUGCUUCGAAGAGUUCAUGGGAUAAGGGGAAGACAAAGACACCCAGCAGGCAAUUGACUUGCUCAACAUCAUAUAAAGUUUCCUGGCUCACAGUCCAGUACCCUCCAAACGAACUCUUGUUGUCUCUCUAAGAAAUCUUUUAUAAAUGGGCACACAAACUUCCAUAAAAUAGCAAAAAACAAUGUAGGCUUGGGCCUGGAUUUCUCAAGUGCACAGGGUUUUGUUUGCCUUGAUAUCUUUUGUGAAAAACAAUGAAGUGUAUGAGUGGCAACAAAACUCUAUAUCUGAAUUCACUGAAACAUUAUGAAAGAAACAAGAUCGACAAGAGCUAUUUUAGCCCUUCAGCAAGAUGGUCACUAUAUGUGACUUUUUUUGGUACUUUGACCAGUAAAGACAAUGUAGUUGUGCU
RNAcentral lists this long non-coding RNA (1466 nucleotides) under Numida meleagris (helmeted guineafowl). Its description in RNAcentral is "lncRNA (ENSNMEG00000018503.1)". The record is from RNAcentral. Lineage: Eukaryota; Metazoa; Chordata; Aves; Galliformes; Numididae.